This 1040-nucleotide small RNA is filed under the name Pan troglodytes (chimpanzee). Its description in RNAcentral is "retained intron". Lineage: Eukaryota; Metazoa; Chordata; Mammalia; Primates; Hominidae. The record is from RNAcentral.
CCGCAGCCGAGGUGCUCUACACAGUCAUCCAGGACUGGGCCCAACUGGAUGCGGGGAGCACGGUGCUGGACGUGUGCUGUGGCACCGGCACCAUUGGCCUGGCCCUGGCCCGGGGCCCCAUGUACUCCCCUCCCUGGGUGGGGCGACACCACGCUUUCCUGUUUCAGAAGGUAAAGAGGGUCAUUGGGGUCGAGCUAUGCCCAGAGGCUGUGGAGGACGCCCGGGUGAACGCCCAGGACAAUGAGUUGAGUAAUGUGGAGUUCCACUGCGGGAGGGCCGAGGACCUGGUGCCCACCCUGGUGAGCAGACUGGCCUCCCAGCACCUCGUGGCCAUCCUGGACCCACCCCGUGCUGGCUUGCAUUCCAAGGUGAUCCUGGCCAUCCGGAGAGCUAAGAACCUCAGGCGGCUGCUGUACGUCUCAUGCAACCCCCGGGCAGCCAUGGGCAACUUUGUGGAGUGAGUGUCUGCAGGGGCCUGGGUGGGGGCUAGGCCUGGUACCAAGCCCCCAGCUCCCACAGGAGCCCCUGAUUAGCCUAUCGGCUGACCUUAGCGCCCCCCUUUUCCCCCCACAGCCUCUGCAGAGCCCCAUCUAACCGGGUGAAGGGCAUUCCCUUCCGGCCGGUCAAGGCUGUGGCAGUGGACCUGUUCCCGCAGACCCCGCACUGUGAGAUGCUCAUCCUGUUUGAGAGGGUGGAGCACCCCAAUGGCACAGGGGUCUUGGGGCCCCACAGCCCUCCAGCUCAACCCACACCAGGACCCCCAGAUGACACCCUACAAGAAACUGGGACCUUCCCCUCAUCCUAGGCCCAGGACCCAUUAUGGGGACAGGAGCUGAAGGGCUCCCAGGGCCCCAGGGGCGGGGAAGGCAUGGCUUGCUGGCCAGGAUAUUCAGAGGUAGGCAGCCAAAGGGCACAGAACCCUGUGCCCCACCAGGAUUGGCCUGCUGCUAGGGGCCAGGGGCCCUGACCAGGAAGACAGGUGGGCUCCUGCAGCCUGUUCCCCAUCCCCAGGGCCUUUGUGGACUAGCCAAGGCUGUGAG